CUGCCUCAUACAGGGGGAUAACAGUUAGAAAUGACUGCUAAUACCGCAUAAGCGCACGGUGUCGCAUGACACAGUGUGAAAAGCCGAGACGGUAUGAGAUGGACCCGCGUCUGAUUAGCUAGUUGGCGGGGUAACGGCCCACCAAGGCGACGAUCAGUAGCCGGCCUGAGAGGGUGGACGGCCACAUUGGGACUGAGACACGGCCCAAACUCCUACGGGAGGCAGCAGUGGGGAAUAUUGCACAAUGGGGGAAACCCUGAUGCAGCGACGCCGCGUGAAGGAAGAAGUAUUUCGGUAUGUAAACUUCUAUCAGCAGGGAAGAAAAUGACGGUACCUGACUAAGAAGCCCCGGCUAACUACGUGCCAGCAGCCGCGGUAAUACGUAGGGGGCAAGCGUUAUCCGGAUUUACUGGGUGUAAAGGGAGCGUAGGCGGUCUGACAAGUCAGAGGUGAAAGCCCGGGGCUCAACUCCGGGACUGCCUUUGAAACUGCCGGACUAGAUUGCAGGAGAGGCAAGUGGAAUUCCUAGUGUAGCGGUGAAAUGCGUAGAUAUUAGGAGGAACACCAGUGGCGAAGGCGGCUUACUGGACAGUAACUGACGUUGAGGCUCGAAAGCGUGGGGAGCAAACAGGAUUAGAUACCCUGGUAGUCCACGCCGUAAACGAUGACUGCUAGGUGUCGGGUGGCAAAGCCAUUCGGUGCCGCAGCAAACGCAAUAAGCA
This 722-nucleotide ribosomal RNA is filed under the name uncultured bacterium. Its description in RNAcentral is "bacterial SSU rRNA". It matches the Rfam family "Bacterial small subunit ribosomal RNA", at positions 126 to 866 of the family's 1533-position model. The record is from RNAcentral.